This 22-nucleotide microRNA is filed under the name Oryctolagus cuniculus (rabbit). RNAcentral's name for it is "ocu-miR-655-5p". Its record names the gene ocu-miR-655-5p. The record is from miRBase by way of RNAcentral. Lineage: Eukaryota; Metazoa; Chordata; Mammalia; Lagomorpha; Leporidae.
AGAGGUUAACCGUGUUAUGUUC